CAGCUCUGCUCCUUUGGGGAUAUAAUCCAGAACAGGGAAGCAACCGGUCGGAUUGCUAAGUGGGCUGUUGAGCUUGGGCCUCACGGGUUAAAAUAUAUGCCCCGGACAGCGAUAAAAUCUCAGGCACUUGUGGAUUUCAUCAAUGAUUGGACAGAAUUACAGGCGCCAGAAGAGAAGCCGGACCAUACUUAUUGGACUAUUCAUUUUGAUGGGUCCAGGCAGUUGGAGGGCUCGGGGGCUGGAGUCGUAUUAACUUCCCCACGAGGUGAUAAGUUUUGUUAUGUUCUCCGUUUAAUGUUCCCUUGCACUAACAAUACAGCUGAAUAUGAGGCUUUACUCCAUGAUCUUCGAAUGGCUAAAGAGAUGAAUCUAAGCCGAGUUAAGUGCUUCGGUGACUCAGACCCGGUGGCUCAACAAGUGUCCGGUACUUGUGAUUCUAAGGAUCCACUCAUGGCGGCAUAUCGUCGAGAGGUGGAUAUUGUUGCGGGUCACGUCAAAGGUUACCAGGUCGAUCAUGUGGACCGGCGGAAAAAUGAAGCGGCAGACGCUUUAAGCCGCUUGGGUUCCCAACGUAAACCGGUUCCACCCAAUGUUUUCCUGGAUGUGUUGCAUAAUCCGUCCGUCAAGCUCCCUGGUGAAGAGGAUUUGGAUGUUCCUGAUCUAGAAGCUCAGUUGGUGGCGGCUCUUCAUGUUAUCCCGGAUUGGACGGUUCCAUAUUUGGUGUAUAUGAACCGGGGCGAGUUACCAGAAGAUGAAACUUCGGCCAGGCAGAUAAUCCGGCGGUCCAAGUCCAUGACUAUUAUC
This 804-nucleotide ribosomal RNA is filed under the name Triticum aestivum (bread wheat). Its description in RNAcentral is "partial small subunit ribosomal RNA". The record is from RNAcentral. Lineage: Eukaryota; Viridiplantae; Streptophyta; Magnoliopsida; Poales; Poaceae.